UACAGAGGUCUCCAGCGUUGUUCGGGUUCAUUGGGCGUAAAGGGUGCGUAGGUGGCGCGGUAAGUCGGGUGUGAAAUUUCGGAGCUUAACUCCGAAACUGCAUUCGAUACUGCCGUGCUUGAGGACUGGAGAGGAGACUGGAAUUUACGGUGUAGCAGUGAAAUGCGUAGAGAUCGUAAGGAAGACCAGUGGCGAAGGCGGGUCUCUGGACAGUUCCUGACACUGAGGCACGAAGGCCAGGGGAGCAAACGGG
Molecule: ribosomal RNA, 253 nt
Filed under: uncultured bacterium
Lineage: Bacteria
Description: partial 16S ribosomal RNA
Rfam family: Bacterial small subunit ribosomal RNA
Source: RNAcentral